RNAcentral lists this ribosomal RNA (253 nucleotides) under uncultured bacterium. Its description in RNAcentral is "partial 16S ribosomal RNA". It matches the Rfam family "Bacterial small subunit ribosomal RNA", at positions 524 to 776 of the family's 1533-position model. The record is from RNAcentral.
UACAGAGGGUGCAAGCGUUAAUCGGAGUUACUGGGCGUAAAGGGCGCGUAGGUGGUUAUAUAAGUUAGAUGUGAAAUCCCUGGGCUUAACCUAGGAACUGCAUCUAGAACUGUAUGACUAGAGUAUUGUAGAGGGUAGUGGAAUUUCCGGUGUAGCGGUGAAAUGCGUAGAGAUCGGAAGGAACACCAGUGGCGAAGGCGGCUACCUGGACAAAUACUGACACUGAGGCGCGAAAGCGUGGGGAGCAAACAGG